UAAUACAGAGGUCCCAAGCGUUGUUCGGAUUCAUUGGGCGUAAAGGGUGCGUAGGUGGCGCCGUAAGUCGGGUGUGAAAUUUCGGAGCUUAACUCCGAAACUGCAUUCGAUACUGCGGUGCUUGAGGACUGGAGAGGAGACUGGAAUUCAUGGUGUAGCAGUGAAAUGCGUAGAGAUCAUGAGGAAGACCAGUGGCGAAGGCGGGUCUCUGGACAGUUCCUGACACUGAGGCACGAAGGCCAGGGGAGCAAACGGGAUUAGAUACCCCGGUAGUCCUGGCAGUAAACGGUGCACGUUUGGUGUGGGAGGAUUCGACCCCUUCCGCGCCGGAGCUAACGCGUUAAACGUGCCGCCUGGGGAGUACGGUCGCAAGAUUA
Molecule: ribosomal RNA, 377 nt
Filed under: uncultured bacterium
Lineage: Bacteria
Description: bacterial SSU rRNA
Rfam family: Bacterial small subunit ribosomal RNA
Source: RNAcentral